AUGUUGCUCCAGCACACCCGCAGGCGACGCUGUUCGCUCUUUUUUUUUUCCUUCCGAUCGAUGAGGCCACUCGGGUCGCGUCGGACAGGGCCCCCGGCGGGCCGGCUCUUCCGCGCUCCCCUGUCCCGGGGGAGCCGCGGUGGUGUCCGGUGUUCAGGCACAGGCGGUCUCCUGUCCAGCUCGCUUCCCGUCGCAGGUGAGGUGCUGCCUCGCUCGGGGCGAGAGCGGCGGCGGCGGUUAGGGCGUGUGCCCUGGUCUGCGCUCCGGCCGUCGUUCUCGUCGCCGAACGAAGGGGCUUUUCCGGCCGAAGCCGGCUGUGUGACGGCCGAGCGGCCCCGCGAGCCGCAGGGGUCCGUGAGCGUUGCGCGAGGCGCUGGUGCCGGCCUCGGUCCGGGGCCCGGCGGGUGCCGGCCGCGAGCAGCAAGGCGGCGGGGGUGGCCGCAAACGAUGUGCCAAAAGCAGCGAGGGCGAGCGAGUGAGCGAGAGAGAGCCGCGCGGCGCGUCCCGCCUCCGGUGGGCUGGCUGGGUGGGGGGGCGUCCCCCCGCCGCGUCGGGGCCGCCGCAGCAGUGUGCGCGCUUUUGGUGGCCGCGUCCCCCGUCCGCUGCGGAGCGCGCCGCCCCGGUGUCGUGGGUGCCCCGGUCGCGGGGGCUCGUGCCCGCCUCGAGGUCGCGUUCUCCUCUAGCACGUCCGUCGCUCCCGCCGCGGCGGCGGGAGCCGUUCCCGGCGCGUCGCCGCCGAUCGGUCGGUCGGCCGGCCGUGGAGGGCGGGUCAGCCCCGGCCGGCCGGUGCCGCGGCGGCGGCGGCGCCGCGCGUGCCGCCGUCGGGCUCUCGCGGGUGUGUGUGGGCGAGAGAGAAAGAAAGAAGGGGCAGCGAGCGAGAGAGAGAGCGAGCCCGGCGCGCGCGCCGCCGAAAGCUGCGCAGCGGCCGCCGCUCCUUCCCCGGUCGGUCGGGGGGAGGCCGGCGGGGCCGCCGGGGUCGGGCGCUCGCGGUGGGCGCCCUUCCCCGCCGAGAGGCGCCGUGCCGGCGUCGGGCGGUGCCCCGGGGCGCGGCUACCUGGUUGA
RNAcentral lists this long non-coding RNA (1062 nucleotides) under Anas zonorhyncha (Eastern spot-billed duck). RNAcentral's name for it is "lncRNA (ENSAZOG00000004494.1)". Lineage: Eukaryota; Metazoa; Chordata; Aves; Anseriformes; Anatidae. The record is from RNAcentral.